This 336-nucleotide ribosomal RNA is filed under the name uncultured bacterium. RNAcentral describes it as "bacterial SSU rRNA". It matches the Rfam family "Bacterial small subunit ribosomal RNA", at positions 335 to 662 of the family's 1533-position model. The record is from RNAcentral.
ACUCCUACGGGAGGCAGCAGUGGGAAUAUUGCACAAUGGGGGAAAGCCCAUCGAUGCAGCCAUGCCGCGUGUGUGAAGAAGGCCUUCGGGUUGUAAAGCACUUUCAGUUGUGAGGAAGGUGGUGUCGUUAAUAGCGGCAUCAUUUGACGUUAGCAACAGAAGAAGCACCGGCUAACUCCGUGCCAGCAGCCGCGGUAAUACGGAGGGUGCGAGCGUUAAUCGGAAUUACUGGGCGUAAAGCGCAUGCAGGCGGCCUGUUAAGUCAGAUGUGAAAGCCCGGGCUUAACCUCGGAAUUGCAUUUGAAACUGGCAGGCUAGAGUCUUGUAGAGGGGGUG